Molecule: long non-coding RNA, 2037 nt
Organism: Scylla paramamosain (green mud crab)
Lineage: Eukaryota; Metazoa; Arthropoda; Malacostraca; Decapoda; Portunidae
Exons: 2
Source: RefSeq, a predicted model, not a curated record
GUGAAGCGGGCAGACAGUAGCGGGUGGAGAGCUGAGGAAUGGAGUGGUGGUUCUACCUACCCAUACUUGGAGUGGGAUAUGGUGAAUGUUCCUACUUUUACGUGGACUGGGGGGCGGAGCGGUGGUGGCGCGGGUCGUGUGUGGCGGUACUGAUUGAUGGAGUGGUGGCAGUGUUUGCUGCACGUUUGUUCUUGGUAGUGUGUUAAAUGUGAGUGGGCAGACACCGAGGAAGACUGGAGGUGACAGAAUUGGGGGGCCUGUCCGUGAGAUCUUCUUCCAUGUGUGAUUUGUGAUCAGUGACUCCAUGUAAAUAAGUGCGAUACGUCUCGCCAUACACUCCAUUCCACCCGCAAGACUCGCUGCCCUGCGUGGUCCUGUACUCCUGUGACCACUGUUCAUGGACAUGCGCUUCUGUACUCUACCAAGAUAGUGCUUAUAAUGAUGGUGAUUUGUCAAGAUGGCGGACCAUGUGGAACAGUUCAUUAACUCUUUGAAUGUCCAUUAUUUGUAUUAGUGUAGUAGAGAAGAGCUUGGUGUGCUACCAGGUUGACUUGGUGUUAAGUUGACUGCUAGGCUCAGCGAGGACGUGCAGAAAGAGUUGGUUACGAUGUUGACAAAGGUCUGUUGUGUGUGGAGGAACAGCACGGUGUUAAGUUUACUGCUAGGCUCAGCGAGGACGUGCAGAAAGUUAGAUACGAUGUUGACAAACGUCCGUUGUGUGUGGAGGAACAGCACGUCCAUGAAAGUAUGAAAGUGAACAAAGUGAAGUGGGAACAAGUAGUGGAGGAGUGCGGUGGGAAAUGUCCGGCAGUGAAAGGUACAUAUUGGAAAGGAUGAAAAGAGGUUGGAACUAAAGAAGGCAGAAGUGGAGAUGAAAAGGUCAGAGAAGGGAGACGGUGAUUUGAGAGGUGAUUCGGAGGAUAAAAAAAAAACUUCAUUUGUCCCGGAUUUUGUUGAAAGUGAGGCAGCCUCAGAGGACUUUCUCUGAGGCAGAGGACUUUCUCUAAUUCGAGAAGGUAGCAGAGUUGAGAGGUUGGCCAGUGGAAGAGUGGGCACUCUUAGUACAGAUAAAAUUGAAGGAAAACCCAGGGAAAUUUAUAAUAGUAUAUGUUGAUGAGUAUAGGGACUGUGCCGCUGUUAAGGAAGCAGUGUUGUCAAAUGUACGCUUGGCUCCUGAGGUAUAUAGAUUAAAGUUUAGGGCAUUAGAGAAAAUCCAUAAUUGCACAUACAUGGAAAUAGCUAGAGAAUGUACCCUAAAGUUGGAUAAGUGGCUCAAAGCUGAGUAUGUUAAAAAUGUGGAGGACAUGAAAGAGGUGAUUUUGUUAGAGCAUUUUCGGAACCAAUUUAGGAACCGAAUACAUCCUAACAUGAAGUAUAAAAGCUGAUAGAAAGACUGUAAUGGAAGUAGGACGUAAAACUGAUCAGCUUGAAACAGCAUAUUGGGUAUGUAGGAGGGAUGUAGGAAUCAGGGUAAAUUCCUGAAGUCGGAACUGUUUCAAGGGAAGGUUUAAUAGUGCACAUGUGGCAAUGCAGCCAAAUGUAAAUGCUCAGUUUGUAAAUAGUAACUGUUUUGCAAAUUCAAGCAGUAUACAGGGCAAGUAUUGCGUCCUUCUUCCAAGCUGAGUAUCAGUGUUGAGGACAGAAUGUAUAAUGAUUUGGAAGGUAAACCAUCAAUUUGGUGCUUCAGCUGUGGGCAUCCUGGUCACUUUGAGUAGGGAUUGUCAACAAUCAAGUAAGGAAGCAAAAUGUUCUUAUUGUGGUAGUUUAGGCCAUAAGGAUUUCAUUGUAAGAACAGUAGUUUGGCAGGUAAGCCAAAGUGGCAUUGAGUGUAAUGAAGGAACUAUGUUGUAGUGGAGGAAUGUACUGCUGCUGUGGAAUUUGAACCAUUUAUUAUUAGAGGAAUGAUAAAAUUAGACAGUGGUUCAGGGAAGGAAAUGGCUCUUAAGAGAUACAGCUGCAAAUGUGGACCUAGUGCUUCGAGAUGUAUUGGAAUGGAUAGAGCUCUCACGGUGAACAAAUAGAGGUGAGAGGCAUUAA